Molecule: ribosomal RNA, 1044 nt
Filed under: Triticum aestivum (bread wheat)
Lineage: Eukaryota; Viridiplantae; Streptophyta; Magnoliopsida; Poales; Poaceae
Description: partial small subunit ribosomal RNA
Source: RNAcentral
AUGGAUCAAUAUCUUGCUCCAAUUGACCCUGUUGAUAAGGAGAGAAGCUAUAUAGUAGGGAAAUAUUUGGCUAGAUGGCUGUACAAGAAAAAUGUACCCUUCAAUGCUAUCAACGAUGAUGACUUCAAAAAAUUUUGUGAGGCUCUUGGUCGUUAUGGUCCAAAUUGGAGGCAACCUUCACAGUAUAUGAUUCGAGAGAAGAUGUUGUUGCAGGAGGUUGAAAGGACCAAAGAUUUGUUGAAGCCACAUGAUGUUGAGAGGGCAGAUACGGGGUUCUCUAUCAUGACCGAUGCUUGGACAAACAAGACAAGAAGGAGCAUUAUGAACUUGUGUGUGCAUUGCAAGUUAGGAACAAUCUUUCUUGGAUCGAAGGAGGCGUCGGCUGAUGCACACACAAGUCAAUACAUCUUCGAUUAUGUAGAUGACUGCAUUGAGAAAAUUGGUACUAAUCUCAACUUUUUAAUUUGCUCUCAUUCAUUCCUUUUCAAGUUUUCAUGUGGUUGUAUGCUGAAUGUUGUGAUUGUUUUGCAAUGGUGUUUUGUAGGGGCUGAUAAUGUUGUUCAAGUAGUCACGGAUAAUGCAUCAAACAAUAUGGGAGCUAAGGGGAUGUUGAAAAUUAAAAGGCCCAAGAUAUUUUGGACCUCAUGUGCAACUCAUACAAUUAACUUGAUGGUUAAAGCAAUUGGCAAGUUGAAGCAUUUUGGUCCUGCAACAACCAAAGCCAAGGAGAUGACAAUUUUCAUUUAUGCUCAUCAUGACACAUUGGCAUUGAUGAGAUCUUAUACAAAGAAGAGGGACAUUGUUAGGCCGGGAGUGACCAGAUUUUCUUCGGCAUUUCUUACAUUGCAAAGUCUCACUGCUAAGAGGAAGCAACUAACGGAGAUGUGCUGUAGUGACACUUGGGAAGAAUGCAAGCAGACCAGAACAAAGAAAGGAAAGGUGGCUCACGCCACAAUAAUGAGUAGGGCAAUCUGGAAAAAUGUGUCUCUUUGCAUCAAUGUAUUGUUAGAUGAACUACAAAUUGUGUCUUGUACUCUUCUUUAA